RNAcentral lists this unclassified non-coding RNA (1692 nucleotides) under uncultured fungus. Its description in RNAcentral is "sequence contains 18S rRNA gene, ITS1, 5.8S rRNA gene, ITS2, 28S rRNA gene". The stretch from base 594 to 1692 matches the Rfam family "Eukaryotic large subunit ribosomal RNA", at positions 1 to 961 of the family's 3401-position model. Lineage: Eukaryota; Fungi. The record is from RNAcentral.
GGAAGGAUCAUUCAUAAUCAAGUGUUUUUAUGGCACUUUCAAAAAUCCAUAUCCACCUUGUGUGCAAUGUCAUCUCACUGGAGGUCACGGCUGUAACAAUCCGGCGGCCACCUUUGGGAUUUAUAUCUACUCAGAACUUUAGUGAUUUUGUCUGAAACAUAUUAUGAAUAACUUAAUUCAAAAUACAACUUUCAACAACGGAUCUCUUGGCUCUCGCAUCGAUGAAGAACGCAGCGAAAUGCGAUACGUAAUGUGAAUUGCAGAAUUCAGUGAAUCAUCGAAUCUUUGAACGCAUAUUGCGCUCUCUGGUAUUCCGGAGAGCAUGCUUGUUUGAGUAUCAGUAAACACCUCAACUCCCUUUUCUUCUUGAAAUGGGAGCUGGACUUGAGUGAUCCCAACGCUUUCUCUCCAAGAAAGUGGCGGGUUACUUGAAAUGCAGGUGCAGCUGGACUUUUCUCUGAGCUAUAAGCAUAUCUAUUUAGUCUGCCUCAAAAACAGAUUAUUACCUUUGCUGCAGCUAACAUAAAGGAGACUAGUUCUUGUGCUGACUGAUGCAGGAUUCACAGAGACAGCUUCGGCUGACUUUGUAAACUCGAUCUCAAAUCAAGUAAGACUACCCGCUGAACUUAAGCAUAUCAAUAAGCGGAGGAAAAGAAACUAACAAGGAUUCCCCUAGUAACGGCGAGUGAAGCGGGAUGAGCUCAAAUUUAAAAUCUGGCUGGUUUACUAGUCCGAAUUGUAGUUUAAAGAAGCGUUUUCGGUGGCAGCCUGGGUAUAAAUCCUUUGGAACAGGGUAUCAUAGAGGGUGAGAAUCCCGUCUUUGACUCAGUGCAUGCUACUAUGUGAUACGUUUUCAAAGAGUCGAGUUGUUUGGGAAUGCAGCUCAAAAUGGGUGGUAAAUUUCAUCUAAGGCUAAAUAUUGGCGAGAGACCGAUAGCGAACAAGUACCGUGAGGGAAAGAUGAAAAGAACUUUGAAAAGAGAGUUAAACAGUGCGUGAAAUUGUUGAAAGGGAAACGCUUGACACCAGUCAUGCGAGCGGAAAAUCAGUCUUUUGCAGUGGGGAGUUGUGUGGGUUCGGACCGCAAGGCCGGCCUGCGCUGCAUCUCUGCUGUAAGUGAUGCACUUUUUCGUUUGCAGGCCAACAUCAGUUUCUUCUGCUGGACAAAACUCUUGAGAAGGUAGCAGCUUUGGCUGUGUUAUAGCUCUUGAGCGAUACAGUGGAGGGGACUGAGGUUUUCGCAGCGCGUGCUUUCGGGCAAGGCUGAUUGGGUGCUAUGGGAUCGUUCGGUGUACAAUGCAUGCAUUUUGCGCCGUGUCUUUUCUGUACUCGCUCAACUCGGCUCUUCCGCGCUUAGGAUGUUGGCUUAAUGGUUUUAAUCGACCCGUCUUGAAACACGGACCAAGGAGUCUAACAUAUAUGCAAGUGUUUGGGUGGCAAACCCAUGCGCGUAAUGAAAGUGAACGUAGGUGCCAUCCGCAAGGUGCAGCAUCGACCGAUCUUGAUAUUUUUGGAUAGAUUUGAGUAAGAGCAUAUAUGCUGGGACCCGAAAGAUGGUGAACUAUGCCUGAAUAGGGUGAAGCCAGAGGAAACUCUGGUGGAGGCUCGUAGCGAUUCUGACGUGCAAAUCGAUCGUCAAAUUUGGGUAUAGGGGCGAAAGACUAAUCGAACCAUCUAGUAGCUGGUUCCUGC